AAACUCUUAGCUUCUUUUUAUUACUCUAAUGCAUGCAAAUUAAGCAUACCUGAUAAAAUUUCUGCAAUUGCAAAUAAAGUUCUACCUUGAUGUUGCUUUGUCCUCCAGGCUGCAUUGAACACGAGAUGGACGGUGCCACGAUUUUCUUGACAUUUUGGAGACUGGACGUAUAGCUCAUGGGAUGAGAAUGGCAGCUCAAGGCUGCCAUGGAUGCUAAAAGCCUCUCUCGCUGUAAAGAAGAGGGUGUGGUUAUAGAAACGGAUAAGUUUAUUUCUGGCGAUGUUUUGCGUUGUUCUCAGGAUAAGGUUUCUGCUCUUUUAUUGUCUUCCUUGGUCCUUAAUUAUCAGGCCAAUUUCAGGAAUACUUAAUACUAAUAGCAUUCAUUCUUUACCCUAUGUUGAUCAUGUCAUCACCACAAUGCCAUUUGAGCUUUGAUGGCCACCAAUUAUUCCAAAAGCUGUGUAAUUCCAACCUUAAAAUUGAUAUGAACAAAUAAAGGACUAACUCUACUCAGCACCCCCUAAACUUGUACCACUUUCUUGCUUUGACUCUAAACUUCAAUUUUAGACAAUUGUACCUUCUAGUCUCAAGUUUGUCCCAUUUAAGUAUAAUCAAUAAUUAUGUUCGCAAAAUUAACGAGAUAAAGGAUGGUAAAAAUUGACAAGAUAUCAUUUUGUUCAAACUAUGAUCCCUCAAUUUUUCUUAACCACUCUCAGUUUAUUGUCAUUAAUCUAUAUAGUUACAAUCACUAAUACUGUUAGCAAAAUUAGCGAAAUAAAAAGUGGUACAAAUUAAUGGAAAGCAUUAUUUUAUUUUUGUUACGAUAUCUUGACACUUUUUUGACCAUUUUGGCACAUUUUCAUUGAUUUGUUGAUGCUGUUAAUUUUGCUAGAGUUGUCAUUGAUUGGAUUUAAAUAGAACAAAUUUGGGAGUGUAGGGUGCAAAAUGUAUAAAACUAAAAGUUUAGAAUACGAAGUGUUUAGAAUUGCAAUUUAGGGCGCAAAGUUAGAAAAUGGUACAAGUUUGGAGGUGCAAAGUAGAGUUAAUCCACAAAUAAAUGACUCUAUGGGCAAUGUUCAUUAAACUUUUUCUUUUUCCUUUUCUUUUCUUGUACAAUCGAAUUCAUUGGCUUUCGCAGCGUAAAAGUACGACACUUUUAUAAUUUAAGAUAAGACAAAGGAAGACAAAAGGCAAGAAAAUAGAAUUUGAACGCCAGCUGUUAAACUUGAAUAAGCUUUAGGAAAAGAAUUAGGGCUGUGAAUAAUCUUUUACAGGCCCGAUCUCACUCCAUCUAGCCCUAUAAGUUAUGGGCUAAAUUUUUUAUAAAUAACUCUCGGGUAAGCCCAAAUUUAAAAUCAGUUAAGUUUGAGCAACAUUAUCCCUAGCCCAUACAUCUGUAUAUGUAGAUGUUAAACUUAAUAUACAUGUUAAUUAACUAAAAUUAAUAUGAUUGUAAGUCGGAGGUUUUGGGUUCAAAAUCUCUUUACAAAAAAAUACUCAUUAUUUCAAGAACCAAUAUUAUUUAUAAAAUUUGCAAUCAUAAUAAUGAUUACUCUUGUAAUAAGUAUCUUAAACUUUGAUUUGCUUAAUUAAUAUCUUAAACAAAAUGUCUCUAUGAGCAAAGUUCAUUGAACUUUUUUUUUUCUUUUUUUAUCCUACAGUCAAGCCCAUUGACUUUUCCAAUUAAACAGAUGAUACUUAGAAAAUUUUCACUCAUGCCCAGUUUCUUAAGGCUAGCAAAGAGUGUAUUUGUCAAAGCAAGAGCAUAGAAUUUGAAUAUGAUUGCGUCUGGGGUUAAACUCGGAUAAACUUUUCAAAAGGGGCUCUAAUGAGAGGAAGCGUAAUCUUUUUCAGCUUCUUAUGUAUCUAGUCACCAAAUUGUUCUAAAGUAAACAAAUAUUCCACUAACAUGUAUUUAAAAUAGUAUAAAAAUCAUCAAUUCUUUGUAGCCUUUACUAUGUAGGCAAACAUUUAGUCUGUCAUAGGUACUCAAAAUUUUAGUCUAAUUUCUUAUAUUUUUAAGAGAUAUGGUUUUAGGUAAAUAGCUGAAAGAAGACAAAAGUUUUAAGGUGAAAUUACAAUUUUUAAAAGGUAUGCCAGUGAAAAUAGAAAUUUGGAAAGAUUUUGGCUGGCUAAAAGAUAAGCUUUCUUAUGUUGCCACACAUAUUUUGUUUAUUUCUAGAAGGUGUUGGGUGCGUAUUUCGGAUUUUGGGAAUCCAAGUGGAAUCACAAAUUUCACCUUGGGUAUAGGUUUUCGUCAUUCUUCUUACAUGUUUGGUUUGGAACCAAAAUGAGGUUUCAUUCAAUCAAUAAUUUAGUGAUUUUGAAACCUAAGUAACAAGUGUGCAAUGAUAGGGCAAAAUUUAAUAUUUUCAUUCAUAUUUAACAAUUCUCAUAGUGAUCUAUCAAAUAAUCUGUACUGGUAUUAUCAAUUUCGCUAUCCAUCCCUAAUGCUCAAACUCAUUUACUAAAUAUCAUCUUUUUCUUUUCAAGUAACUCUCACCAUUGCCACCACAAAAGAGGGAGGGAACGGUCUUCACCUUGAAGUGUUAGAAAAAUAAGUUCUUCUUCUAUAAUAAAAAUAACAAAUUUUUAAAAAUAUCCUCUAUAUUUAUAGUUUUUGCCUCGCUAAAACUUGAUAAAAUUCUAUAAUGCACUGUCUAGAAUACACAUACAUAAAAAGAACAAUUUCAGAAACCUCUCCUAAGGUUUCACAAAAUAUCAUUUAACUCCUCCAAUGUUUUCAAAAUUUUUCUCAGCUCCCCUGAAGUGAUUGUGGAACCAUAUGUCGCUAUUAGAAGGGAUCAAUUGUCAAUCAUAUCCUCAAUUCUUCUAGCAAUUAUUUAUUCUGCUAAUAAGCAAAAAAAUUAGACAAAACUAUUAGCAUGUAAUAACAAAAAGCCCGAGAAACAAUUUGGUGCCACUUUUCUUCUAUACCAGCAAAGGCACGGAAUUAUCUCUGACAAAGUUUCAAAGGCACACAAUUCUUUUGUUAGAUGAAAUACUAACUAUAAAAGGACUCUUGUUUCUAUGUUGUAGAACCAUCCUUUUUUUCUCGUUUCUGUUCUCUCUUCUGUAAUGAACAAUACGAGAACUUGGAGCAGAGGUAAAAGGAUUCCAUAAGUUUGAAAUGAAGGCAUGAUUCUCAAAACAAAACUGCAGAACAAGUAAAAAUCCUGACUGGAGCUUUAAAUGAUCAUCUAGUACUUAAUAGGAGAUGAUCUGAAGUUCAAUAUCAAAAUAGUUACAUAAAAAUGAGAGAUUGAUGUAAUUUUUAUGUUCUGAUGAAGGAGCCUUUGUUGAUUGUGAGGUAUUCUUGAUGAUCAGGCCAUAAUACCUAUGUUGUCCUUUUAUUUUUGUAUUUUGCUGGACUUGAUAACUAAUUUUACAAUUUAACUAGCGUUUUAGUAAGUAUUUUUGAUAUUGAAUGCUGAAUAAUAUAUGUGAUUUGAUGAUAGAUGUUUGAUGAUUAUGUUAUUUAUGUCAGCGAUUCAAUGACUGUUUAGUGAUGCAAAAAGCUGCAAUACAUAAGUAUGGAGUAAGUUCUUGAUAAAGAAUCUGCUUAGGAUCAUAAAAGCUAGUAUUAUUCCUUUAUACAGCUUGUGGAGAAAAUUUUGUUUUGUAACUUAAGUUUUGCUUUGAACAUCAUAUACGUUGACUUACAAUGUGUAUAGCUCAAGAUAUAAAUGGAUGAAUGAAGAAAUGAUGAUUACAAUGAAUUAAAAGUAUGAUGCAUAUGUAAACCUUUUAUUGUGCUGAUGAAUAAUUAUACACAUGGUAUACUAUUUGCAAUAUUCCAAAAUGUAAUUCUUACAACAGCUGAUUGAAACUUUUCUUGGAAACACAUUGAUACGUUCUACACCCUAUUUCAGACGGAACCCAUAACACGCAAGUCCUGGAUCUAGAAUCGGAUGGUAUUAACGUUUGAAUAGCAAAAAUCUAGACAAACUUAGACCACACAAGAAUAUCAAGAUUGGUAGAUGACGCCACAAUCAAGGUGACUGCUUGAUGGAUAAGUCAAUGAGCACCUUAGAAACCGUUCUUAAGGUGUUCAAAAGUAUCUUUCACAAGUCAAAAGAAUUGUUUCACUCGAGAAAUUGAAUGUUAGCAAUUUCUCAAAAUCAUCUAUAAUAUAAGUCAAUGAGCACCUUAGAAACCAUUCUUAAGAUGUUCAAAAGUAUCUUUCACAAGCCAAAAGAAUUGUUUCACUCAAGAAACUAAAUAUUAGAAAAUUCUCAAAGUCAUCUAUAAUGCUUCUAAAAUUCGGCUAUUUAUACCCAACUUACAAAUCUAAAUGGGUCAAGAUUUAAACUCUUAACUAACCGAACUAAUGAAUUAAUUAAGGCCCAACUUAGACAUAAACUGGCCAAUUUAUUCUCCUAACCUAAAAGUCCCAUUCGACUCAAUUAAACAAGCAACUAUGUGGAUCCAACUUACAUGCAAGUUAGCCCAAUUUAUUCUUGAAAUAAACGACCAAACUAAGCUAGAGAAACUAAGCUAAAAAUGACUCCAAAGCAGAAAACUUGAUCCGCUUCAUUUGUAAGCCCUUGAUGUGAACCUAUGAACUGCAACUGGAUAUACGAAUCUUAGGAUCCAAUGGAGUUUGAUCAACAUAGAUGAGAUUAAUAAAGAUUGUUUCAACAUGCUUAAACCCUUCAAUGGAUCUUGACACUUCAUUUUAGUCUUGACAGCCCACACUGGAGCUCGAAAUGCUCCUUUAAGUGUCAUAGCUCUUGCUCUAGUGACCUUAUUCACGAGAACCCACAUUGGAUUACCUUGAACAUCUCGCAUGCUCACAUCACACAUUGACAUGUAGAAUGAGAAGAAUUGUUGCAUAUGAUAUUGUAGUUCAUUGCAUGGGAAACAAAGUUAGAACUUCUAAUGUAGAUCCAAGGAAUUCGCAAUAUAUUGACCUAUUCAAUGAUAUUACUGACAAGGAAAUGAAUGACUUGCCUGGAAAUUUGAAUAUACUUUUGCACAUGAAGUGUGGGAUUCCUAGGACAACAUGCUUUAUGAACAUUACUACAAACAAAUCAGUCUUUGUUAUAUUCAAACUCCAUGAAAAGGAUCUUGUUGUCAACUAGUAUGUGCUACACCUGGAAAUUAUUCCUACAACAGAGGAGAAUACCGUAGAAAACAACCAAACUAAGAAUGCACAGAAAACUUAGAAAUCAAAAAGGCUCCUAUUCUUGUGGAAUACAUUGAGGCUAAUGAUGAGAUUUAUGAUUCUAGGUCUAAUGACUCUUGGAAGGAUAAUAUAUAUAGUGACUUGGAAGAUGUCAUAAAUGAAGAUAGGGUGUCAAUUUCUUCCAAUGAUGAGGGUGAAAUUAACUUGUCUAAUUAUGAGAAGAAUAAAGAUGGCCUUGUUGUGCUUGAAUCAAAAUUUGAAAAAGAAGUGGAUCCUAUUAGAGCAGUCAUGAAGUCCAAGAGAGAACAAUAAAUUUGAAAAAGGAUACUUUCUACCAAUGUGGAUGCAUUUAGGGCAGGCUUGAAAGACUAUACAAUUUAGAAAGGAUUGCUACUAAUGAGGUUAAAAAAUGAAAAGAGUAGGUAUACUGCCAAAUAUGGUGCUCAGGGUGGUAACUGGAGGAUUCAUGCAUCCCUAAUUGCUAAUACAACUAUUUUCAUGAUUAAAACGUAUACACCUAAGCAUGUAUGUGUCAUGAAUAGGAAGAACUCAAAUGCAACUCUUGAUUGGAUUGUAAAGAAACUAAUUUCUGUGAUGAGAGACCACCCAGAGAUGACAAACAAGGAAGUUAUUGUUAAAAUGAUGAAGCAUGGAGUGUAGCCAAGUAAAAUGCAAAUCUACAAGGCAAUAAAGAAAGCCUUUGAAGAGAUAGAAGGAUCACAGUAUGAGGCACAUGGAAAAUUGCCAAAAUAUGCUAAGCUUUUGAUGAUUAAUAACCCAAGUAGCAUCAUGAAAAUUUGCUAUGACAGGCCCAACCUUCUUAUGGAGUCUAAAUUUUUGAGAUUGUUCAAAAGUUUUGAGGCACAAAGGAUAGAUUCCUUGCAGGUUGCAGCUUAUUUAUUCACUUUGAUGAAUGCCAUUUUAAAGGUGCAUUUGGGGGUAUUCUGUUGACUGCUGUUGCUCUUGAUGGAAACAAUGUUGUUGAUAGGUUGCAUUUUAGUGGGUAUUUUGGGCAUUAUUGCACAACUAAUUGAUUAAAUAUUUUCAUUAUUUGGGUGGAUUCUACUGAUAUUUUGUUUUGACGCUAAUUGCAGGGAUGGACGCUGAAAAGUACUUAAAAUCAAAACUUAGAAGAUUUGUCGCUGUGGGGUCCGAUUUAGAAGCUGAAGAAACUUAAUUGUAAUAGAUAGUAUUUUAUUUUAUUUCGAGGGAGUCGGGUGGCAAUUUGGAGCAAGUAACAAUUUUCGGCUAUUGGGGAUAUUAUUUAUCUCUCGCGCGGUUUAGGUUAGGGGAGUUGUUCUUUCCUUUGUUUUGUUUUUCUUGGCUCUGGAAGGAGGGGAGAGCCGAAGCUCUGUAGAGAGAAAUAAAGCCCCCAUUGUUGACAUUUUCUAGGAUUGUUUUUCAUAUUCUGUUGACUUGAGCAGUUGCUAUUUUCUAAUCUAUCAAUUGAAUUGGGUUGACCGAAAUUGGAAGACAAAAGAAGCAAUUGAAAACAAAACCUCUCGUAUGUCUCUUUGGUGAUAAAAAGAAAGAAAGCAAAGUGCAGCCGCCAUUGUGGACUUGGUGGGUUCUCUCUUUACUCGAUUUUGACCAAAAAAUUGGGAGACUAUCCGACGUAUGCUUUAGAGGAAAAUUGGCAGCAAUAAAAAAGCUUCCUUGCGUUUUCCUCUGGGGCUGACCGAAGCGAAGGAAAAGUGAUCUGCAAACCUCCCCAAACUCCGCGCACCGCUUGCCCUUCCUUAAUGGCGGGCUAAUUCUCCAAUUCUAGUCAAGGGGGCAACUGACGAAUUGGUUCACCGAUUACUGUGAGAUCUAAGCCGUUGUUAAUUAUUUUCUCCGUUUAUUGGUAUUUAUAUACUCCCUGCUCUUAAUUGUUAUAGUUCUUAUGUAUGAUUGAUUAGUGCGCAAUAAUUAAUUAUUCAUAGAGACUAUUUUGCUAAAUAGGGGUAAUUGAAUCCGUAAUUGUUCGUUACCUCUAUCCCAGUAGCAACUGGUAUAAUUGGGUUUAUGUCAGGGGAAUAUAUGAUCUACCUUAAAUAAACCCUCGUAGCGUGUUUAUUGGUUAGGAUUGGGCCUUUCUAAUUAUUAAUGCAAUCUGGAAAUUAAAUCCUACGGUCGUACUUAGGGUUGUUUUUGGGUUAGAGAAAUAGCUAACGGUCGUACCUUAGUUAUCGAUAAAUUACGGAAGGGUUGGUCGUUUGGCGCGUGCGAGACAACUAUAACCAAUCUAUUAGUAGAUGUUGGAAUUACAUUUGAAUCAAUGAUCAGUUGCAUGAACCAUUUCUGAAGUGUACCCUUGGCUAGAGUUUCUCUUAAUUAUUUCUUUUAAUUAAUUAUUUCUUUGCAUUUAAUUUGUUUAGUUGGCAUUUGAUACCAAAACCCCCCAUUAAUCUUGGUUUGAAAGGAAGCAAAAAUAUCUUGCUAGUCCCUGAGGAGACGACCCUGCUUACCACUGUCUACUAGUUAGGGAAUUCAGUUAAAUAAUUAAUUCAGGUAUAUAGGAUUAAGCAAACUCUUCGGGAACAGGGUGAAUCAAGUAACCCAUUGCACACCUAGAGUCCCUGCUCCAGUACUCGAAUUGAUUACUGACUGUUCCAGGUGGUAGUUAGGAUUUAUUUAUUAUUAUUGCACAGGUUCAGCACCUGUCAAUUUUUUGCGCCGUUGCCGGGGACUGGCGUUUGAAUUAUUUGCUUCUUUUUGAAUUCAGUUUUAUUUUGUUUUAUUUUAUUUUUCCUUUUUCUUGGUAUUUUUGCUAGUUUAUGCCCCGUUCUUCUCGCACAGGUGACUUGGUAUACGAUCCUGAGGUCGAGAAGGCAGCGCGUAGGCGAAGGCAAGAGACCAAGAGACAAAAAGAAGGGCAUUUAUUUUCUGCAAACGAGCCAGUAGAAAACGAAUUUAGCAUGGCCAACACCCAGACAUUAAGGGAGCUGGCUACCCCAGACCUGACUCAUCAGCCCUUGUGCAUCACGUUCCCAACUCUGGUUGAAAAUACUUCUUUCGAGCUGAAAUCGGGGUUGAUUCAGCUCCUGCCUUCGUUCCAUGGUCUUUCUGGUGAAGAACCCCACAAACAUGUCAAGGAAUUCGAAGUAGUUUGCUCUAGCAUGAAACCUCCUGGGGUCACUGAGGAGCAAAUAAGACUGAGAGCCUUCCCCUUCUCUCUCAAGGAUGCAGCGAAGGAUUGGCUAUACUAUCUACCUGCAGGUAGUAUCACCACGUGGGCACAAUUGAAGAAGAAAUUCCUGGAGAAAUUUUUCCCCGCAUCCCGGGCUGCAAGUUUGAGGAAGGAGAUUUGCUGCAUCAAGCAGUACUCCGGGGAGUCAUUGUACGAUUUUUGGGAAAGGUUCAACAAGUUGUGCGCUAGAUGCCCACAACAUCAGAUUAGUGAACAACUGUUGAUCCAGUACUUCUAUGAGGGACUCCAGUCAACUGACAGGAGUAUUAUUGACGCUGCAAGUGGAGGAGCCCUGGCGAACAAGACGCCGAGGGAAGCGUGGGACCUUAUUGAAGCCAUGGCAGAAAACUCUCAGCAGUUCGGCUUUCGUGAGAGCAAUCCUACCCGUAGAGUCAAUGAGGCAGAGACGCCAUCCAUCCAGCAGCAACUGUCAGAGUUGACAUCUGCUGUCAGGCAAUUGGCCAUGAGAGACACACCGCGAGCAAAGGUGUGUGGAAUCUGUACUAGCAUGGACCACUGCACGGAUUCGUGCCCCAUUCUGCAAGAGGACGGGGCGGAACAGGUAAAUAUGGCCGGAGGCGUGCCCGCGCCCCGCAGGCAGUAUGACCCGUAUUCCAACACAUACAACCCCGGUUGGAGAGACCAUCCCAAUCUCAGUUAUGGGAACAGGCAACAGGGUUCAUUCCCGAAUCGUCCACCAGGAUUCCACCAGCCUUGGCAACCAAAAAUCUCAACCCUCAUCCUCCAAUUCAGGAAGCUCCUUAGAGGACCCAGUCAAGAACCUGGCCACGACUACUACCAACCUGGCCACGACUACUACACAGCUUCAACAGGAGAUCAGAUCCUUGGCCGCGAAUACCGCGCAGCUCCAGCAGGACACCAAAGCUGACAAGAAGGACCAAGAUGUUCGAAUAAGUCAACUGGCAACUGCCAUCAACCGCUUGGAGUCUCAUGUUUAUGGGAAACUGCCAUCGCAACCCGAGGUAAAUCCCAGGAAUGUAAGUGCCAUGACGCUGAGGAGUGGCAAGGAACUGGAAGGGCCUACAGUGAAAAAUUCAAAAAGCAAAAGUGAGGAGGAGAUAGAAAAGGAAAUUGAAGAGGAAGGACGUAUCCGAGAAGAUCCUAAGGUAACAUUCACUUCUCCACCCACUACUACAUCUGACUUACCUCCUUUCCCUUCCAGGUUGGCGAAGACAAGAAAAGUAGAAAAGGAAAAGGAACUUUUGGAUGUAUUCAGGAAAGUAGAGAUUAACAUCCCCCUACUGGAUGCAAUCAAGCAGAUACCAAAAUAUGCCAAAUUUUUGAAGGACUUGUGCACCCACAAGAGGAAGCUGAGGGGAGAUGAACGAGUGGCGGUGGGAGAAAACGUGUCAGCCAUGCUCCAAAGGAAACUCCCACCAAAAUGUGGAGACCCAGGUAUGUUCACCAUUCCCUGCAAGAUAGGAGGUGCCUCGAUUAGGAAGGCAAUGUUGGAUUUAGGGGCGUCAAUCAAUGUAAUGCCUAAAAUAAUUUAUACGUCCCUUAAUCUUGGUCCAUUAAAAGGCACAGGCAUUAUAAUCCAACUUGCAGACCGCACCAAUGCUUACCCAGAAGGGUUAGUUGAAGAUGUUUUGGUGCAGGUCAAUGAGUUAGUUUUUCCUGCAGAUUUCUAUGUCCUAGACAUGGGGGAUGAAAGGGCACUAAAUCCGUCUCCUAUUUUGUUAGGUAGGCCAUUUUUAAGCACUGUUAGGACGAAAAUAGAUGUAAAUGAGUGUACUUUGUCGAUGGAGUUCGAUGGGAAAAUUAUAAAUUUUAAUAUUUUUGAUGCGAUGAAGUACCCAGAUGAGUCUAACUCUGUUUAUGCUUUAAGUGUUGUUGAGCCCCUUGUGCAGGAAAUAUUUGAAUUGGAGGGGGUUGAUGCACUAGCAGUGGCAUUAGCCAAACAUCUUGAGUUGGGAGCAACUCCUGAUGUGGGACUGAGCGAUGAGUUAUAUUAUGCAGUUGGAGCACUGCAUUCGCUCCCACCAAUCUCCCCGAGGUAUGAGCUUACGUCUGUCUUCGUACCAGAAACUCAGACGAAAUUGUUGCCUUCAAUUGUGCAGGCACCUGAGUUGGAGCUCAAGCCUCUUCCGAAGCACCUGAAGUAUGCAUUUCUCGGAGAUAAUGAGACGUUACCAGUCAUCAUAUCUGCACACUUAUCACCAAGGCAAGAAGACAACCUGAUUCGCCUUCUUCGAGAUCAUAAGGAGGCGAUUGGGUGGAGUGUAGCAGAUAUCAAAGGAAUUAGCCCCUCCUUAUGCAUGCAUCGGAUCCGGCUUGAGGAUAAUGCAAAGCCAGUUAGACAAGGGCAACGGAGAUUGAACCCACUAAUGAUGGAAGUGGUCAAGAAGGAGAUACUUAAACUCCUAGAGGUGGGGAUCAUCUUCGCCAUCUCAGAUAGUCCUUGGGUGAGCCCCGUGCAAGUAGUCCCGAAAAAGGCGGGACUAACUGUUGAGGAGAACCAAGAGGGUGAGAUGGUCCCGGUGAGAAAACCUACAAGAUGGCGCCAGUGCAUUGAUUACCGGCGUCUGAAUGCUGUGACAAAGAAGGACCACUUCCCUCUACCUUUUAUUGAUCAGAUGAUAGAAAGGUUAGCUGGCCGUGUCUAUUACUGUUUUCUUGAUGGUUUCUCUGGUUAUUUUCAGAUAGCGAUAGCACCAGAGGAUCAGGAGAAAACUACCUUCACCUGCCCCUUCGGUACAUUUGCAUAUCGGAGGAUGCCUUUCGGCCUCUGCAAUGCCCCAGCAACUUUUCAGAGGUGUAUGGUGAGUAUAUUCUCCGAAUACGUAGAAAAGAUUAUUGAGGUGUUUAUGGAUGAUUUUAGUGUGUAUGGAGAUAGUUUUGAUGAAUGCCUUGAUAAUUUAGCUCUAAUUUUGAAAAGAUGCAUUGAGACAAAUUUGGUUCUGAAUUGGGAAAAAUGUCAUUUCAUGGUAGAUCAUGGUAUUGUUUUAGGGCAUGUAGUGUCGGCCAGAGGUAUAGAGGUAGACAAGGCAAAAGUCGAUAUUAUUUCUGCUUUACCUUACCCCGCAAGUGUGCGGGAGGUGCGCUCCUUUUUGGGUCAUGCAAGGUUCUACAGGAGAUUCAUCAAAGAUUUCUCCAAAAUUGGAGCGCCCCUGUUCAAACUGUUGCAAAAAGAUGUGGCAUUUGACUUCACCAAAGAGUGCAAGGUGGCAUUUGACAGGUUGAGGGAGUCAUUGACAUCACCACCUGUUAUCCAACCUCCAGAUUGGAGCCUCCCAUUUGAGAUAAUGUGUGACGCGAGUGACUAUGCAGUGGGAGCAGUGCUGGGGCAACGGAUUGGCAGGGCGGCUCAUGCAAUCUAUUAUGCAUCAAAGGCGUUGAAUGGAGCCCAACUCAACUAUUCUACAACAGAGAAAGAAUUACUUGCUGUGAUUUUUGCACUAGAAAAAUUUAGACCAUACUUGUUAGGUGCAAAAGUAAUAGUUUUUUCUGAUCAUGCAGCCUUGAGAUAUUUGAUAACAAAGAAGGAUGCUAAACCAAGGCUUAUCAGAUGGAUACUGCUCCUUCAAGAGUUCAAUUUGGAGAUUAAAGAUAAGAGUGGGGCAGAAAACUUAGUCGCUGAUCAUUUAAGCCGCUUGCUUGCUCAUAAGGAAGAGCCACCAUUGAGGGAGGCAUUUCCAGAGGAGCAACUACUUGUCAUUAACUCGUCUACACCCUGGUAUGCUGAUAUAGUAAAUUUCUUGGUGACUAAUCAAUUGCCUGCAGGGUGGCCAAAGGCUAAGAGAGACAAGUUGAAGAGUGAUGCUAAGUAUUACAUUUGGGACGACCCGUAUCUUUGGAGACAAUGUUCGGAUCAAGUGCUCAGGAGGUGUGUAAGUGCAGGUGAAUUUCACUCCAUUUUAAAUUUCUGUCAUUCGUUUGCAUGUGGAGGGCACUUUGGGCCCAAACGAACAGCUCGCAAGGUGUUGGAGAGUGGUUUUUACUGGUCUACCCUGUUUAAAGACGCUUAUUUAUUCUGUAAAUCCUGUGAUAGGUGUCAAAGGGUGGGGAAUAUUUUUCGUAGGGACCAAAUGCUUCAAACCCCCAUGUUCUUUGUUGAAAUUUUUGAUGUUUGGGGGAUAGAUUUUAUGGGUCCUUUUCCCUCAUCUUUUGGUUUCUUAUACAUUUUACUUGCUGUAGACUAUGUCUCUAAAUGGGUGGAAGCCAAAGCCACCCGUACUAAUGAUUCUAGAGUGGUUGCAGAGUUCUUAAAGUCUAAUAUCUUUGUCCGUUUUGGAAUGCCAAGAGCUGUGGUUAGUAAUAGAGGGACACAUUUCUGCAACAAGACUAUCACUGCCUUGUUUCGAAAAUACGGUGUCCUCCAUAAGGUAUCCACACCGUAUCACCCCGCAGGCAAACGGUCAGGCCGAAGUGUCAAACAGGGAAAUCAAGUCGAUCUUGGAGAAGAUGGUGCGUCCGGACAGGAAGGAUUGGAGUUUAAAACUAGAAGACGCACUAUGGGCUUAUCGAACCGCGUAUAAUACGCCGAUUGGGAUGUCUCCUUAUAGACUUGUCUUCGGUAAGGCUUGCCAUCUUCCCGUGGAGUUCGAACACAAGGCGUUUUGGGCAGUGAAGCAGUGUAACAUGGGACUAGAGGAAGCAGGGGUCCAAAGGAAAUUGCAGCUACAAGAGUUAGAGGAGAUAAGAAAUGAAGCGUAUGAGAAUGCCACGAUCUAUAAAGAAAAGAGUAAAAUCUUUCAUGAUCAGCAGGUUUCUAGGAAAACUUUUGUAGUGGGGCAAAAGGUCCUCUUGUAUCACUCAAGGCUUAAACUUUUUCCCGGUAAGUUGCGUUCUCGUUGGAUUGGUCCAUUUGUCGUUUCUAAUGUGUUCCAUUAUGGUGCAGUGGAGAUCCAAAGUUUAAAAACGGAGAAAAAGUUCGUGGUGAAUGGCCAUCGUCUCAAACCUUAUUAUGAGGGGUUCUCUGUUGAAGAAGUGGAAGUUAAACACCUCCAAGAUCCACCUUAUCAUGCUUGAGGGUUCUGGCCAUGUCUAGCCAAAGACGUUAAAGAAAGGCGCUACCUGGGAGGCAACCCAAGACUAUUUAUUUCAGUUUUCAUGCAUUUUUGAAGUUUUAGUUAAGUAUUAGUGUCAAUUGAUGGUUUGAUGUUUGGUGGCAGGAGAUCAGUGGUUAGGCGUGCCCACGCCUGGUGGUCACGCCUGAGGAAAAGAAAUUUCCGCUCAGAUUCUGCGAACUCCAUAGCAGUUAGGCGUGCCCACGCCAAAUGGUCACGCCUGACGGAAAAAAUUUUUUCGUUCAGGAUCUGCGGACUCUAUGGCAGUUAGGCGUGCCCACGCCAGGUGGUCACGCCGGAGGAAAAGAAACUUUUGUUCAAGAUCUGCGGACUCUAUAGCAGUUAGGCGUGCCCACGCCUAAGCCAGAGGUUUUAAAAAAAAAAAAGAGGGAGAGAGAAAGGGGUGGCGAAAAGACGAAAUUGCCCUUAUUGAAAAAGAAGGAAAAAAUCGUAGCCCUACUUCUUCUUUUCUUCCUUUUUCUUUCUUUCUUCUUUCUUCUUCCUUUUCUUUCUUUUUCACUCUUCUUCUUCCUUCUUUUCUCCUUGUCCGCCGCACCUCCACUGCCGCACGCCGCCAUUGUCCGCCGCCACUCCUCACUCCACCCCAUCGCCCAAGCGCGCUCCGCGCGAGCUCCAGCCUCCAUCGCGCGCGGCCUCUCGGUCUGCACAGCCCACGCCGCGCGACGCUGCCGCCCAGCGCACCUCCCUCCGUGCGACGCAGCCCUGCGCGCCGCCCCCAGCGCAGCCCAGCAACCAGCAGCCGCGCCGCACGCCACAUCGCGCGCCCAUCAACAGCCUGCCGCGCGCCAAUCCAGCCCCUCUCCAGGCGCAGGCUUUGCGAAACCCUCGCGCACUUCUUCUUUGCGAAACCCAGCUGAGCCAGCCUCCUGCAGCCCGCGCGCGCGCCCCAACUGAGCCAGCAGCACAGGAUCUCCCCUACUCUCUACUUCACCCACUGCCAGCCAAAAAUAAACUCCGGUGAUUUCUUUUUCAAAUUCCUGUCACUUAGCUGAGGCCAGAUUCUUAAUUUUUGUAGCAGAGGACAGAUUUUAAUUUGUUAGCUGAGGCCAGAUUUCUUUUAAUUUGUUAGCUGAGGCCAGAUUGUUAAAUUCUUGCCGUUUGGGUGCUGUGAUAUGUUUGUAGCUGAAUGUUGGAGAAAGUUUUUACUCUGGUGCUUGGUUAAUUAGUUUUAGGGGGAAUUUUGCUGAGUUUAAUUAAUUAGGUAAUUUUUGGGGUUAUUUGGUAGCAUUUGGGGAAAUCUUCGUGGUUUCCAUGUUUAAUUGGUUUUUGGGUGAAGAUCUUAUUAUUUAGCAACUUAAUUGAUUUUUGGGUUGUUUAGUUUCUAUUUGUGCAAUUGUUGGUGUUUGGAGCUGUGUUUGGGGACCCCUUGCUUUGUUGACUAGUUACCGCUCCAGUUUACCCAACUUCACCUUAACUUUUGCCCUGCCCUUUGAUCUCAAAUGACACAAACAAAAACCAAAGGCAAGAACAAGCCUUCCACUUCCACCCCUCAGCCUACGGUCCCCUUAGGGGGACCUGCCCCAUCGACUGGGCCUGGAGGGCCCCGUACUC
RNAcentral lists this long non-coding RNA (14902 nucleotides) under Coffea arabica (coffee). RNAcentral's name for it is "long non-coding RNA (CARA_LNC008329)". The record is from RNAcentral. Lineage: Eukaryota; Viridiplantae; Streptophyta; Magnoliopsida; Gentianales; Rubiaceae.